GUUUCCAGGCGCCCCUUUUUUGGAACUCAGGUGCGAAAUCUUACUUUUUCCUUUUCCUUUUUCAGGAGAUGUGAUAUUUAGGUCUACUGAGUGCUGUGAAGGAUUAUGCAAGUGUAUGGAACAUUCCUUGUGCCUUUUAAACUAGCCACCACUGAUUAUCACGGAGAGAGAAAUGAAGCCAGAAUGGAGAGGAAGAUGAGGUCGGAACCUCCCAGCCGAUUACAGGCAUGAAGUCAGCUCUCAGGUCUCAAGAGGACUGCUGUAAAUGAUGAGUGACUCACAGCCACUGACUUGGAAAAGAAGAAAACUGGCUGACCUUCCUGCUACUUAUCUUCUGCCCUUCCGUCGAAACCAGACACUCUCACCUGGAAAGUAUGCAUCGUCUUCAAACGUGAUGCUCCAUCACCGUUUCAACCCGACCUAUGGCUCGAGCAGCUGUUUAUGUUCCUCAGACCUCUACCUAGCAUUUUUUUUAAUGAAGGAGACCAGUGUGAUGUAGUGGAAAGAACUAUGUGGUGAGAAUGAAGAAAUGUAGCUUCUCAUUCUGGCAAAGACACUUUCACCCAGUAGGUACUAGGAGGUAACUUA
Molecule: long non-coding RNA, 588 nt
Filed under: Fukomys damarensis (Damara mole-rat)
Lineage: Eukaryota; Metazoa; Chordata; Mammalia; Rodentia; Bathyergidae
Description: lncRNA (ENSFDAG00000022149.1)
Source: RNAcentral